GAUCAUGGCUCAGGAUGAACGCUAGCUACAGGCUUAACACAUGCAAGUCGAGGGGCAGCAUGUUGGUUGCUUGCAACCAAUGAUGGCGACCGGCGCACGGGUGAGUAACGCGUAUCCAACCUACCCUUGUCCAUCGGAUAACCCGUCGAAAGGCGGCCUAACACGAUAUGCGGUUCACAGCAGGCAUCUAACGUGAACGAAAUGUAAAGGAGAAGGAGUGGGGUGCGUCUGAUUAG
RNAcentral lists this ribosomal RNA (236 nucleotides) under uncultured bacterium. RNAcentral describes it as "partial 16S ribosomal RNA". It matches the Rfam family "Bacterial small subunit ribosomal RNA", at positions 15 to 244 of the family's 1533-position model. The record is from RNAcentral.